Coffea arabica (coffee) is the source of this 614-nucleotide non-coding RNA. The record is from RefSeq and is a predicted model, not a curated record. Lineage: Eukaryota; Viridiplantae; Streptophyta; Magnoliopsida; Gentianales; Rubiaceae.
CCUGUCCGCCCUUUUUCUUUUUGAAAUGGUCCCUUGAUCAACAGGUUUGGCGGCAGGACAGCUAAUGGUCAGAAGAGUUUUGGGAAAAUUUUGGACAUCGGAACCGUAUUAUAUUACAUGGGAUUGAAUCUCCCCCUUCUUCUUGGUUCAAGGGAAACUGAAACAAAAUAGGAAACAAUGUUGCAAGAUAUCUAGGACUGGAUAUCUCAACGGGAUGGAAUAAGUGAAAGGAAGCAGGGAAGAUUAGCAUUAAUCAUGGAAUUCCAUAUGGAUGGUUCUAGUUAAACAUGGGGUGCAUCGGACACAGUCUCGCUUUUGGUCUUAGUUGUUAUAGCCUUAUAGGUGUUUUCUGAUUGCGCUACUACUCUUGUAGUUGUGACCCUCUCACAUUUUGUUCAGCUUAGUCAGGGACUAUUAUGCAGUAGUUGUUCUAAUGCUUAACCAUGAAAAACCUCAGUGGUUUUAUAUAAGCAGCUACUUACUACAUGCUACAUUUUGCUGUAAAGUACUAAAGGGAUUUGCCCUUACCACAUUAAUAGCGGUGUAACAUCCAUUCUGUCGUAGGAGCACAUACUCUUAUUUAUUUCUGCGAGCAUUAGAAGUUCCUUUUUAUC